CAGGACUCGCGGUUUCCUGGCCACCUCGGGCUCGGUGGUAUGGAGACAGGGCAGCUAGUGGGGUCCGGGAGGGGCCGGAGCUGGAGGGGCCGGUCGCGGUGCCCUGUGCUGGCAAGGAGCAAGGUGUUUUGCAGGCGAGAGUGAUGAAUUCUGCGUUUAACGACGUCUCCUUGGCAUGCUACCUAAACGAUGGGCAUGGAAGUGGUGCUGAGGGAUGUGGGCGGAAUCGUGGCAUGAAUCGAGAAAGCAGGGACUUUUGUCUUUAGGGUCCUCAGAAGUUGAGAAGCUCUGGAUUGCCUCGCAUCUGAUAGAAGUUGUCACAAAAAAAUUAUCCAGCAGGAGGCACAUGACUCAGUUCUCAUCACUGGAAUGGGAAGAGGAAGCCAUUGGGACUGGGGAUUCCUGGGAUUCUGACAAUGAGUAGAUCUCAUUGUUUUGGUGUCACUCCCUCCUGCUCUGCAAAUUGACAUAAGAGAAUGUGGCCACCAUCUUUGGGCUGUGAUGCCUUAUGGCUGAGGUUGCAAACCAAUGAGUUUCAGAUGGCCAAGAAGGAUGGGAAGAAUCCAGGUCCUGGAAAACACCGUGGAACUGUCAUGCCAAUACUGGAAAUGCCUACCUUUGGACUACUAAGUAAACAGCUAGCCUUUGGUUUAAGUCUGUUAGUUUAAGUCUGUUAGGUUUUCUGUGUCUUGGAGUCAAAUACAUCCCAACUAUGAUAGAAAGUGUGAAGUAUUUGAUACAAAGUCGGCGAGCAUUUGUGAUAUUCUGAUGGGUAUCCUACUGAAUAUCCCGAGUGGCAUUUCAAAGACAUUACGGUAUUAAUUGAGCACUUACUAUGUAUAUUAUUCUAAGCUCUGGGGAUACAAAAAUAGUUUGCCAAAAGAGCUUGUAGUUAUAGACAUCAUAAAUAGAAGAGACUAACAUUAAACAACUGAUUGCUCAUUUACAUUUUAUAAUAAUCACUUAUUCAAGCUAACAAGAAAAAAUUAGAGAUUUCAAGGAUGAAAUAAUAAUAUAAGUAAUAAAAUACUAUAAAAUAUAUAACCACAUAACUGAAUAAAAUUAUAAAAGCAAAUAUUUUCAAGGACAUGAUAAUUUUGUAUAUAGUUUAUACAUGAAUUCUUAGAGGUUAAGAGAAACAAACAAGUAGGUUUAUUUUUAUUUUUAAGAUUUUAUUUAUUCAUGAGAGACACUCAGAGAGAGGCAGAGACACAGGCAGAGGGAAAAGCAGGUUCCCUGCAGGAAGCCUGAUGUGGGACUCCAUCGCAGGACCCCAGGAUCAUGAACUGAGCCAAAGGCAGAUGCUCAACCACUGAGCCACCAAGGUACCCCUGAAGUGGGUUUAAUAAAGGAAAGCUGUCUGAAGGAAAUUAAUAUGGAACCAGGUUUUGACGGAAGUAGCCAAAGAAUAGACUACAAUGGGGCAGGCUGGAACACUCUAUGUGAAAGGAACUGAGAGCAAAAGGAAGGAAGCAGGAACGAAGUAGCAGUGAAAUAUGGAAAAUACAGAUUCACUCGAUUCUUUAAUUCUCUACAGCAAUGCCAUUCUAGGGACAACUAUCAGGGGAAAAAAAAAUCAGAGACUAGAAGUCCUAAUGCAAAAUUACAAAAGAUAUAGAAAUAGUACAGAAGAAAAUAAUACAGAAGAAAAAGUAGAAAGAGUAACAAGGGUACAUUUGAAGAAGUUAGGGUAUUAUUUGAAAUGAUGAAUAAUUUAUAAUGUGGGCAUCAUGAAAGAAUUGUCAUAAGGAGUAAUUAUGGACUUGAGGACAUCAAGAAGGUGGAACUCAAACUUCCACAAGCAGAAAUAGAAAGAAAAAUGAGGGGGUAGCAAAAAAUGAAGACAGGCAGCAAAACAGUUUUUGCUUAUGGUUAUUUUUCCAUGGUAGCUGUUACUGACAUGCAUUAUGUAAAAAUGAAUGGAAUUUGAUUGAAAAGAAAAUUUUCAGUAGACCAGUAAUAUAUAAAGAUAGUCUUUUAGGUAAAUAAUGUAAUUUAGAAUGUUUUUCCUAGAAUGCCUUUUUGUACCUUGCCAUAGAAAAGUCUUUUCAGUGAGGAAGCUGUAAGGAAUAAUAUGUUACAGAUUAGUGAUGCAUUUUGGAAAUUAAAAAAAAAAAACCAUAGAUGUGCCAAAUGUAAUCAUAUAGCAACAAAUAAUAAAUACUUAUAACAAAAAUCAGAAGUUUGUCAGA
This is a long non-coding RNA of Canis lupus familiaris (dog), 2192 nucleotides long. RefSeq lists it as uncharacterized. The record is from RefSeq and is a predicted model, not a curated record. NCBI's taxonomy places the organism in Eukaryota, Metazoa, Chordata, Mammalia, Carnivora, Canidae. The transcript is spliced from 3 exons.